Molecule: long non-coding RNA, 1161 nt
Organism: Pongo pygmaeus (Bornean orangutan)
Lineage: Eukaryota; Metazoa; Chordata; Mammalia; Primates; Hominidae
Exons: 4
Source: RefSeq, a predicted model, not a curated record
CCCAUGUUCAAAAAAUGGAGGCGUUGGUACGAUCUGAGGAUAGAGUUUUCGGCCCUCUGAUGUUAAAAGAUGAAGCAGAGGACAAGACACCUUCUUCCUCCUACCCUUGGACAUGAGAACUCCAAAUUCUCCAGCUUUGGACUGUGGGACUUGGACCAGCAAACAUCUAGAUUUUCAGAUCUUAGGCAUUGGACUGAGUCACAUCAUCAGCUUCCCUGAUUCACAGGACUUCAGACUACGACUAAGCAGCACCAGCUUCCCUGGUUCUCCAGCUUGCAGAUGCCAUAUUUUGAGACUUCUCAGCCUCCAUAAUCAAUUGAGCCAAUUCCCCUGGCUCUUUUGGUCCUGGUGAGUCAUCCUACUGAUUUGAGUUUGUAAGAAGAUGAAAUUGGUGUAUAUACGUUUCUUCUGGAAUAGGAGAAGCAAGCAACCACAAAUCCUACAGCUGUACAGAACUGGAUGCUGCCAACGUGGAAACAGGGAAGUGGAUGCCUCCUUAGACAAGCCUAUGGAUGAGAACCAGCUCCAGAUGAUACCUUGAUUGCUGCUCUGAAAGAUCCUAAUCAUAGGACCCAAGGAAGCUCUGCCUGGACUCCGGAGUCACACAAACAGAUAAAUGUGUGUUGUUUUAAUCCACUACAUUCAGUGGUGGUAAAUUGUGUUACACAGCAAUAAAUAAUGAAUAUAAUGUAAAUUUGGUAGCUGUAGACAUUAGAACAUCUGUGAGAAAGCAAGUGUCUACUUAAAAUGUGACAUUCCAAAUAAUAUCCAAAUGCCUCCAGGCUCCACAGUCUGAGAGAGAGAAGGAGAGAGACAGAGAGAUGGAGAGAGAGAGAGAGAGAGAGAUGGAAAGAGACACAAGGAGAAGCAAAGUGAAUAGUAGUUGAAUGGGUUGUUUUCAUUUGGAACUUAGUGAGGUUUGGGCCAUAAGAAAUUCUAUCCCAGUGCCCAGGAGACAGAAGAUGACAGACUUGGGCUGGGAAAUAGAAACAUCUUAUUUUUCAUAUCGUCUCCCUCCCUCUCCCCACCAUCUUAGCCUAUUCUUUCUAGGUGAUAGAGCACAAAGCUGUGAAUGGCCCCUUCCCCAGCCACCUGGGUUCUUAAUCCUGUGAUAGGCCCAGCUCUCCCCCUAAACUUUCUUGCUCAUUAAUAAACUUUGGA